Molecule: ribosomal RNA, 406 nt
Filed under: uncultured bacterium
Lineage: Bacteria
Description: partial 16S ribosomal RNA
Rfam family: Bacterial small subunit ribosomal RNA
Source: RNAcentral
AUUGAACGCUGGCGGCAGGCCUAACACCUUCAAGUCGAACGAGUGGCGGACGGGUGAGUCAUGUAUGGGAAACUGCCUGAUGGAGGGGGAUACCUACUGGAAACGGUAGCUAAUACCGCAUACCAUCGGAUGUGCCCAGAUGGGCUUAGAUAGUUGGUGGGGUAAAGGCUACCCUAGGCGACGAUCUCUAGCUGGUCUGAGAGGAUGACCAGCCACCCUGGAACUGAGACACGGUACGGACUCCUACGGGAGGCAGCAGUGGUGAAUAUUGCACAAUGGGCGCAAGCCUGAUGCAGCCAUGCCGCGUGUAUGAAGAAGGCCUUCGGGUUUGAAAGUACUUUCAGCGGGGAGGCGUUACCCUCAGAAGAAGCACCGGCUAACUCCGUACCAGCAGCCGCGGUAAUUC